AGCCUCCUUGACUCGAUCCUUGAUCAACUCUUGAUCCCAUCGCCAUCAACCACUUGGAUCGCCGUUCAUCUCAUGCCUUGUCUUCAACUUGAUCGUUGACGUACAUCACAUCAUAGAAAUACAACCAGAUGUAAAAUAAAAAUAAUAAUAAAUUACAUCCCCUUUUAGGAGGCAUGCAGGCCUCUCAAAACAUCAAAUAAGAUGCAUGCAAGCAUCUGAAA
This 221-nucleotide long non-coding RNA is filed under the name Phoenix dactylifera (date palm). RNAcentral describes it as "long non-coding RNA (PDAC_LNC016846)". Lineage: Eukaryota; Viridiplantae; Streptophyta; Magnoliopsida; Arecales; Arecaceae. The record is from RNAcentral.